RNAcentral lists this non-coding RNA (152 nucleotides) under Lacicoccus alkaliphilus. Its description in RNAcentral is "Salinicoccus alkaliphilus GlcN6P sequence". It matches the Rfam family "glmS glucosamine-6-phosphate activated ribozyme aptamer". Rfam says of the family: This entry contains a glucosamine-6-phosphate activated ribozyme that is found in the mRNA for GlmS. Lineage: Bacteria; Bacillati; Bacillota; Bacilli; Caryophanales; Salinicoccaceae. The record is from RNAcentral. RNAcentral also lists the same sequence under 1 other name.
AAAAUCGGAAUAGCGCCCGGGCAGCUUUGCUGCUGACGAGGAGGACGGUCAUCGAUCAUCGGCGGAUACCGUCCCGGACACUGAAGUGUUCGUUACACCGGAUGUUAAAACCCGCAAGCGAUUGCGGGGACAGAGCACCGGUCGAUAAUUGU